Molecule: long non-coding RNA, 1215 nt
Organism: Equus caballus (horse)
Lineage: Eukaryota; Metazoa; Chordata; Mammalia; Perissodactyla; Equidae
Source: Ensembl
CUAGAACUCAAGUAGCUAGUAACUGGCUUGCAGGCCUUGGGAGGCAGAGACUCACCUGAUUUUUUGGUUCUCAGGGCACUGUGUUGGAAAGAAAGAGAACAUUGCCCAGAAAUGCCUUCUUCUCUCUGGCUUUCAAGUCAAUUUUUUGCCUCAAGCUGACAUUUUGACCACUUCGUGCAUCUCCCUCUCCUAAUCUUCACACAUAUUCUUCUUUGAUAAUACGUAUUUUUUCCUAUACUACAGUCUGAAAAUAGCAGAGAUGCCUGGAUGCUGUGUUAUUCCUGAAAAUAGCACAGCAUAGAUUCUAGUCUGAAAAUAGCAUAGAUGUCUGGAUACUGUGUUAUUUCAUUAAUCUAAUAAUAAUUCCAAUAAUAUUCUGCUUUCACUCUAUAUGAAAGCUUCUUUUAAAGUUCGCAUAAAUGCGCGUGUUUGUGUGUGAAAGAAAACCACCUCACUUUUAGGACUGGAGGUUCAGAAGAAUUUCUCGACACAGGCAAGUUGAGAACUGAAUUUGAUGUUUUGGAAGGAAAAUGGGGAUUCCCAGGUCCUUUUGAAGUUGGCAGACAGCAGACAUCAGUAUCAUCCAUCAGAUUAUUCAUCAGUAUUAUUAUUUUCUUCUCUUCUGUUUUGGAGUAUAUGAAGGAUGAUACUCCUCUGGUAUGCCCUUGAAUUAAGAAGGGCCACGUGACUCGCUCUGGCCUGUAAGCUGUGAGCAGAAGUUCCUCGUGUGAUUUUACAUGUGGGCUAUUCCUCCUCAGAGCACCUCUCUCAGAAAUUGUCUGGUUGCACAAAACCAGGAAGAAAUAUCCAGAAAUCCUAAAAGGCCAGGAAGAACAUUUGUACAUGCAAUUUGAGGAAAACUACACUCUCUGGAUGGGAGAGAUCUCUUCGUCCAGCAUGAAACAUAUCGUACAAAGACCUAAUCGUAGAGAAGAGGCCUCCAUCUAUUUCAGACAAGGUGACCUUGAGGAAGUCUGAAGGAGCAAGGUCAAAUCUGCCCAAUUACUGGGAACUUUAUAAAAGUCUUGAGACCCUUGAGAAGUAUAUAGAUCCCAAGAAGAAUCUGGUCAAUAAAGAAAUAAAUCUUAAAGUUUUCUCUACACAUACAUGGAAUAUCUCCAGUCAAAUAUAAUAUUACAUGGGCUGAGAAUACCCAGGAGAGGAAAGAUUGCAAUGAUUCCAAUGUGAAUUUCAUGGAUUUAAGUUGAAAGUUAU